Molecule: ribosomal RNA, 404 nt
Filed under: uncultured bacterium
Lineage: Bacteria
Description: bacterial SSU rRNA
Rfam family: Bacterial small subunit ribosomal RNA
Source: RNAcentral
UGGGGGAUAUUGCACAAUGGGCGAAAGCCUGAUGCAGCGACGCCGCGUGAGGGAAGACGGUCUUCGGAUUGUAAACCUCUGUCUUCGGGGACGAAACAAGACGGUACCCGAGGAGGAAGCCACGGCUAACUACGUGCCAGCAGCCGCGGUAAUACGUAGGUGGCAAGCGUUGUCCGGAAUUACUGGGUGUAAAGGGAGCGUAGGCGGGGGCGCAAGUCCGUUGUUAAAACUAUCGGCUCAACCGGUAGCUGCGGCGGAAACUGUGUCUCUUGAGUGGAGUAGAGGCAGGCGGAAUUCCCAGUGUAGCGGUGAAAUGCGUAGAUAUUGGGAGGAACACCAGUGGCGAAGGCGGCCUGCUGGGCUCUAACUGACGCUGAGGCUCGAAAGUGUGGGGAGCAAACAGG